UUGUCGUAGCGGAUGGCCACGGCGCGGUACUGCUUGCGCCGGUUCAUCAGGCGUUCGAUGUGGUUGCGGCGGC
This 73-nucleotide transfer RNA is filed under the name Paraplanobispora siamensis. RNAcentral's name for it is "Planobispora siamensis tRNA-Ala". Lineage: Bacteria; Bacillati; Actinomycetota; Actinomycetes; Streptosporangiales; Streptosporangiaceae. The record is from RNAcentral.